RNAcentral lists this ribosomal RNA (465 nucleotides) under uncultured Klebsiella sp. RNAcentral's name for it is "bacterial SSU rRNA". It matches the Rfam family "Bacterial small subunit ribosomal RNA", at positions 338 to 795 of the family's 1533-position model. Lineage: Bacteria; Pseudomonadati; Pseudomonadota; Gammaproteobacteria; Enterobacterales; Enterobacteriaceae. The record is from RNAcentral.
CCUACGGGUGGCUGCAGUGGGGAAUAUUGCACAAUGGGCGCAAGCCUGAUGCAGCCAUGCCGCGUGUGUGAAGAAGGCCUUCGGGUUGUAAAGCACUUUCAGCGGGGAGGAAGGCGGUGAGGUUAAUAACCUCAUCGAUUGACGUUACCCGCAGAAGAAGCACCGGCUAACUCCGUGCCAGCAGCCGCGGUAAUACGGAGGGUGCAAGCGUUAAUCGGAAUUACUGGGCGUAAAGCGCACGCAGGCGGUCUGUCAAGUCGGAUGUGAAAUCCCCGGGCUCAACCUGGGAACUGCAUUCGAAACUGGCAGGCUAGAGUCUUGUAGAGGGGGGUAGAAUUCCAGGUGUAGCGGUGAAAUGCGUAGAGAUCUGGAGGGAUACCGGUGGCGAAGGCGGCCCCCUGGACAAAGACUGACGCUCAGGUGCGAAAGCGUGGGGAGCAAACAGGAUUAGAUACGCGGGUAGUC